ACUCCGACAGAUUGAAUGAUUCGGUGACGUGUUCGGGCUGGCGCAGUGCUCAGCUUCUGGAUCUUGUGUUGGAAAAUUUCAUGAAGCUUAUCAUUUGGAGGAAGGAGAAGUCGUAAUAAGGUUUCAACCGUAGGUGAACCUGCAGAAGGACA
RNAcentral lists this unclassified non-coding RNA (152 nucleotides) under sea anemone metagenome. Its description in RNAcentral is "partial contains small subunit ribosomal RNA and internal transcribed spacer 1". It matches the Rfam family "Eukaryotic small subunit ribosomal RNA", at positions 1678 to 1825 of the family's 1831-position model. The record is from RNAcentral.